Molecule: unclassified non-coding RNA, 383 nt
Filed under: soil metagenome
Description: partial contains 5.8S ribosomal RNA, internal transcribed spacer 2, and large subunit ribosomal RNA
Rfam family: 5.8S ribosomal RNA (bases 1-121)
Source: RNAcentral
GAUGAAGAACGUAGCGAACGUGCGAAACGUAAUGUGAAUUGCAGAAUUCAGUGAAUCAUCGAAUCUUUGAACGCAUCUUGCGCUCCUUGGUAUUCCGAGGAGCAUGCCUGUUUGAGUGUCGUGAAUAUCUCUCAAUCUUAAACGUUUUUUUUUUUUUCGUUUUAAAUUGGACUUGGGCGUUGUCGUUUUUUUGGACGACUCGUCCCUAAAUACAUUAGCGAGCUGCCCCUGAUCACACACAAUGUGAUAAGUUUUUAAGCAUUGUCAUGGUUAGGUUUCGGUGAUGGCUUCUAACCGUCGUUAAGACAAACUCAUAUCAUGUCAUUUGACCUCAAAUCAGGUAGGACUACCCGCUGAACUUAAGCAUAUCAAUAAGCGGAGGA